CGGCCCCAGAUUCCUACGGGRGGCAGCAGUGGGGAAUWUUGGACAAUGGGCGCAAGCCYUGAUCCARGCCAUACCGCGUGUGUGAAGAAGGCCCUAGGGUUGUAAAGCACUUUAAGUUGGGAAGAAAAGUUAUUGAUUAAUACCCAAUAACCGUGACAUUACCAUCAGAAUAAGGACCGGCUAAUUCCGUGCCAGCAGCCGCGGUAAUACGGAAGGUCCAAGCGUUAAUCGGAAUUACUGGGCGUAAAGCGCGCGUAGGUGGUUUAUUAAGUUGGAUGUGAAAUCCCCGGGCUCAACCUGGGAACUGCAUCCAAAACUGAUUCACUAGAGUACGAUAGAGGGAGGUAGAAUUCACAGUGUAGCGGUGGAAUGCGUAGAUAUUGUGAAGAAUACCAAUGGCGAAGGCAGCCUCCUGGAUCUGUACUGACACUGAGGUGCGAAAGCGUGGGUAGCGAACAGGAUUAGAUACCCUGGUAGUCCACGCCGUAAACGAUGUCAACUAGCUGUUGGAGAACUAUGUUCUUCAGUGGCGCAGCUAACGUAGUAAGUUGACCGCCUGGGGAGUACGGCCGCAAGGCUAAAACUCAAAUGAAUUGACGGGGACCCGCACAAGCGGUGGAGCAUGUGGUUUAAUUCGAUGCAACGCGAAAAACCUUACCUAUACUUGACAUACUUGGAAUGCUUUGUAAUGAAGCAGUGCCUUCGGGAGCUAAGAUACAGGUGCUGCAUGGCUGUCGUCAGCUCGUGUCGUGAGAUGUUCCGUUAAGUCGGAUAACGAGCGCAACCCUUACCCUUAUUUGCCAGCGAUUCGGUCGGGAACUAUAAGGGGACUGCCGGUGAUAAACCGGAGGAAGGUGAGGACGACGUCAAGUCAUCAUGGCCCUUACGUAUAGGGCUACACACGUGCUACAAUGGAGAAUACAGACGGACGCUAAGCCGCGAGGUGGUGCCAAUCCUAGAAAAUUCUUCGUAGUCCGGAUUGGAGUCUGCAACUCGACUCCAUGAAGUCGGAAUCGCUAGUAAUCGCGAAUCAGCAUGUCGCGGUGAAUACGUUCUCGGGUCUUGUACACACCGCCCGUCAUACCAUGGAAGUGGAUUGCACCAGAAGUAGAUAGUCUAACCUUCG
RNAcentral lists this ribosomal RNA (1126 nucleotides) under uncultured SAR86 cluster bacterium. Its description in RNAcentral is "bacterial SSU rRNA". Lineage: Bacteria; Pseudomonadati; Pseudomonadota; Gammaproteobacteria. The record is from RNAcentral.